AAGUCGUAACAAGGUUUCCGUAGGUGAAUCGUUCCCCUAGUACAGAAAAAAAAUGGGCUUCCUCAUUGUCUUUCCAAGGUUUUGAGUAAGAGGAUGGCGAACGAGUAGCACCUGUAUUGGGUCGAGCGUUUCCAACUAUCCACGCCUGGGGCCAAGCAACCAUCAAUCUGAAAGUGUUUGGUGAAGGGCAGCGCAGUCAACGAUCCGUGGUCCACACGGCCAUCGACCGGGGGUCGUUACUGGCCUUAGUUCAUUCAGGUUGAACAUGAUGCAUGUCUACCGCGCCCGACGAAAGGCCGACGCACCCCUAACCGAACAACUGUUAACAAUGGAUAUCUUGGUUCUC
Molecule: unclassified non-coding RNA, 346 nt
Filed under: fungal sp.
Lineage: Eukaryota; Fungi
Description: partial internal transcribed spacer region
Source: RNAcentral